RNAcentral lists this ribosomal RNA (508 nucleotides) under uncultured bacterium. RNAcentral describes it as "bacterial SSU rRNA". It matches the Rfam family "Bacterial small subunit ribosomal RNA", at positions 40 to 507 of the family's 1533-position model. The record is from RNAcentral.
CGGCGUGCCUGAUACAUGCAAGUCGAACGCACUCUCGUUUAGAUUGAAGGAGCUUGCUCCUGAUUGAUAAACAUUUGAGUGAGUGGCGGACGGGUGAGUAACACGUGGGUAACCUGCCCUAAAGUGGGGGAUAACAUUUGGAAACAGAUGCUAAUACCGCAUAAAACCUAACACCGCAUGGUGUAGGGUUGAAGGAUGGUUUCGGCUAUCACUUUAGGAUGGACCCGCGGUGCAUUAGUUAGUUGGUGAGGUAAAGGCUCACCAAGACCGUGAUGCAUAGCCGACCUGAGAGGGUAAUCGGCCACACUGGGACUGAGACACGGCCCAGACUCCUACGGGAGGCAGCAGUAGGGAAUCUUCCACAAUGGACGAAAGUCUGAUGGAGCAACGCCGCGUGAGUGAAGAAGGUUUUCGGAUCGUAAAACUCUGUUGUUGGAGAAGAAUGUAUCUGAUAGUAACUGAUCAGGUAGUGACGGUAUCCAACCAGAAAGCCACGGCUAACUACGUG